GACGAUCAGGAGGCCCGCCUCUAGUCGUGCGACAUCGA
Molecule: small RNA, 38 nt
Filed under: Sinorhizobium meliloti 2011
Lineage: Bacteria; Pseudomonadati; Pseudomonadota; Alphaproteobacteria; Hyphomicrobiales; Rhizobiaceae
Description: putative ncRNA
Source: RNAcentral